GACGAACCAUGCGAACGUUAUUCGGAAUCACUGGGCUUAAAGCGCGUGUAGGCGGGCCGCCACGUCGGCUGCUGAAAUCCCCCGGCUCAACCGGGGAACGGGCACCGAUACGAGCGGCCUGGAGGGGGGUAGGGGGGCCUGGAACUUCCGGUGGAGCGGUGAAAUGCGUUGAGAUCGGAAGGAACGCCCGUGGCGAAAGCGAGGCCCUGGACCCUUACUGACGCUGAGACGCGAAAGCCAGGGGAGCGAACGGG
This 254-nucleotide ribosomal RNA is filed under the name uncultured bacterium. RNAcentral describes it as "partial 16S ribosomal RNA". It matches the Rfam family "Bacterial small subunit ribosomal RNA", at positions 524 to 776 of the family's 1533-position model. The record is from RNAcentral.